CCUAAUCUCAUGUACUUCCGAGGAUUACAACUUUGUUAUUACGAGGAAAUUGUAGCUUGGAUCAAGUUGUAGAACUUUUUUUUCCGCAGAUGCCAGGUCUAUGUGUUUUAGAUUUAAGCUACACUGAAAUAGAAAAGUCGCUUACUUCUGUGUCAAAAUCUGGUAAAGCCUCUUUGCGUUGCUGCUACGAGGCUGUCCGAGACUCAGAUUUGUGCGGCCGUUGAACAAGCUAAAGAACCUCAUUGAAUUGGACCUUUAUGGCACAAUUAUGCCUAGAAAACUUUGGCUAGUUUAACAAGCUUGGACAUGAGAAGAGACGAAACAACAUGGACUCAGACACCAGUUAUGACAUCAGCUGUAGAUUUGUCAAAUAUCGACAGUCUUGUGGGAAGCCGGCUUU
Molecule: long non-coding RNA, 400 nt
Filed under: Nicotiana benthamiana
Lineage: Eukaryota; Viridiplantae; Streptophyta; Magnoliopsida; Solanales; Solanaceae
Description: long non-coding RNA (NBEN_LNC026331)
Source: RNAcentral